Molecule: ribosomal RNA, 433 nt
Filed under: uncultured bacterium
Lineage: Bacteria
Description: partial 16S ribosomal RNA
Rfam family: Bacterial small subunit ribosomal RNA
Source: RNAcentral
AACGAACGCUGGCGGCAUGCCUAACACAUGCAAGUCGAACGGGACCUUCGGGUCUAGGGGCGCACGGGUACGUAACGCGUGGUAACCUGCCCUUAGGUUAGCAGUAACUGCCCUAAAGGGGUGCUAAUACCGGAUAAUGUCUUCGGACCAAAGAGUUAUCGCCGUUGGAUGGGCCCGCGUUGGAUUAGCUGGUUGGUAGGGUAAAAGCAUACCAAUGCGACGAUCCAUGGCUGGUCUGGGAGGAUGCUCCGCCGGAACUGGACUGCGACACGGCCCACACUCGUACGGGAGGCAGCAGUGGAGAAUAUUGGACAAUGGGCGCAAGCCUGAUACCGCAAUGCCGCGUGAGUGAUGAAGGCCUUAGGGUUGUAAAGCUCUCUUACCCGGGAUGAUAAUGACAGUAACGGGAGAAUAAGCUCCGGCUAACUACGUG